GUCCUUUCGAUAUUCAUGUUACAUCUUGUAUUACAAAAAAAAAUUCCGCCAAAGCUCAGGUGUCCUCUCUUUCCUCCAAUUGACUGCGGAUGGUUGCUACUGCGGACGGAGUAUUGGAUUUUAAGGUUUGGCUUGUAAUGCACAUCCAAACAACUAGAUAAAAUAUCCGGAACAGGAAUCUGCAAUGUUUUAGUUGGGCUUCUUCUACUCUGAUGAUUAUUUAGGUGUGCGCUGUAUUAUGCUCCAGCGCUGCAGUUUUCGUAACUGAGGUAUGUCUUUCAUCUAUCUGUAACUUGCCGUAGUCCUGCCAGUUUGUUCUUUCACCUCUUGCAUAUCUCCUUUCUACUGAAUUCUGAUUAAUAAUUCUCCAAGGACUAUUGCCGGACUCUCUCAUCUGAUUUUCCUGUGUAUUUGCCAUUCCUCUGUCAAGUCUUGUUAGAAGUCCUGUGGUAACCCAUACCUGAGAUUUUGGAGCAGCUGGAGAAAGUAACAAGAAAAAGUUGAUUAAGGACAGUGGCCCACUAUGAAAAGAGCUAUCGCUAGAACACGAAAACUGCUUUUACGAAAAGUCUAUAUUGUUGCAGUGGAUGUCACAAAGUUAAACAGAAACACCCAGGAUCAGGUUAUGUUGGAAUUUAGCCUUUGAAUGCAAGGUUGACACACACAAAACGAGAAAUGGUUCAAUUUUAUGCCUGGUGCUGGCCUGGAGUUCAGCACAUUGAAGCGCUAGAUACACCAUUUUCAGGGCCUUCCAUUGUUCUUCUAUGUACCAAAAACUA
This is a non-coding RNA of Solanum lycopersicum (tomato), 779 nucleotides long. NCBI's taxonomy places the organism in Eukaryota, Viridiplantae, Streptophyta, Magnoliopsida, Solanales, Solanaceae. The record is from RefSeq and is a predicted model, not a curated record.